UUUGCCAGCCCCAGCCGCGCCUCCACAGCUUUCCUGCAGCCAGACAGAAACAGAGUUAAUUCCUCCCUCUGUCCAGCUUGCCUGCAGCCAGGGUGGGGAUAAUUCCACAUCUGUCUGGAGCACGAGAGAGAGGCAAGACCUGCGCCAGUGAACCCAGAGCUAAGACCUGCAGGACCAGACUAAGAGACUUGCAAAGGGAAGAUGGAGAAGGGCUGUGAUGCUGAAAUCACAUCCACAUUUACGCUGCUGCAGGGCCAUACUGGUUUCAAAGAUUGUAGUGGUGGCACAGACACUGACCUGUGUAUACCUUGCUUGAGUACUAAAUAAUAUAACCACUGAUCAAUGAAUAUACAACUCAUAUGCAGGCUUUGCUAAAAGCAUUGAUCAAAGUAGACCUCACCAAAGACUGACCUCACUAAGGUGCCUGUGGGAGUAAACUUGACAAACAAUAAAGUGCUAAAGUUGAUUGCUAGGGUGUUAGAGUUGUUUGUUACAAUUAAUUAUUACAGCUGCUGCCAAGGAGGCUAAAAUAAACCUGCUCGUAACAAAGUCUAAGAAUUAAGGUAAUUUGGUAUAUAGGUGCAAAUGUUUGUUAUGUAAAUGCCUGAUGUAAACAGAACGGCUUACUUCAUGUAUAAGAGAAAGCCUGGACAUUUUUUAACUUUGCACUAAGCCUGUGCCUUAUCACCAACAUCCAAGGCUAAUGUCUUGUAACCCUUUGGACAGAUGUGUUAGCAAGUAGGUGAUUUAUAGGUAAUAAAGCUGGCUAAGAUUUUGCCCCUAAA
Long non-coding RNA from Alligator mississippiensis (American alligator), 785 nucleotides. RefSeq lists it as uncharacterized. The transcript has 2 exons. Lineage: Eukaryota; Metazoa; Chordata; Crocodylia; Alligatoridae. The record is from RefSeq and is a predicted model, not a curated record.